UACGGGGGGGGCAAGCGUUGUUCGGAAUUACUGGGCGUAAAGGGCUCGUAGGCGGCCAACUAAGUCAGACGUGAAAUCCCCAGGCUCAACCUGGGAACUGCGUCUGAUACUGGAUGGCUUGAAUCCGGGAGAGGGAUGUGGAAUUCCAGGUGUAGCGGUGAAAUGCGUAGAUAUCUGGAGGAACACCGGUGGCGAAGGCGACAUCCUGGACCGGUAUUGACGCUGAGGCGCGAAAGCCAGGGGAGCAAACGGG
RNAcentral lists this ribosomal RNA (253 nucleotides) under uncultured bacterium. Its description in RNAcentral is "partial 16S ribosomal RNA". It matches the Rfam family "Bacterial small subunit ribosomal RNA", at positions 524 to 776 of the family's 1533-position model. The record is from RNAcentral.